This 884-nucleotide ribosomal RNA is filed under the name uncultured fungus. RNAcentral describes it as "bacterial SSU rRNA". It matches the Rfam family "Eukaryotic small subunit ribosomal RNA", at positions 564 to 1458 of the family's 1831-position model. The record is from RNAcentral. Lineage: Eukaryota; Fungi.
GUGCCAGCAGCCGCGGUAAUUCCAGCUCCAAUAGCGUAUAUUAAAGUUGUUGUGGUUAAAAAGCUCGUAGUUGAACCUUGGGCCUGGCUGGCCGGUCCGCCUCACCGCGUACACUGGUCCGGCCGGGCCUUUCCCUCUGUGGAACCCCAUACCCUUCACUGGGCGUGGCGGGGAAACAGGACAUUUACUUUGAAAAAACUAGAGUGCUCCAGGCAGGCCUAUGCUCGAAUACAUUAGCAUGGAAUAAUAAAAUAGGACGCGCGGUUCUAUUUUGUUGGUUUAUAGGACCGCCGUAAUGAUUAAUAGGGACAGUCGGGGGCAUCAGUAUUCAACUGUCAGAGGUGAAAUUCUUGGAUCAGUUGAAGACUAACUACUGCGAAAGCAUUUGCCAAGGAUGUUUUCAUUAAUCAGGAACGAAAGUUAGGGGGAUCGAAGACGAUCAGAUACCGUCGUAGUCUUAACCAUAAACUAUGCCGACUAGGGAUCGGACGGUGUUAUUUCAUGACCCGUUCGGCACCUUACGAGAAAUCAAAAGUGCUUGGGGCUCCAGGGGGAGUAUGGUCGCAAGGCUGAAACUUAAAGAAAUUGACGGAAGGGCACCCACCAGGGGUGGAGGCCUGCGGCUUAAUUUGACUCAACACGGGCGAAACUCACCAGGUCCAGACACAAUAGGAUUGACAGAUUGAGAGCCUCUUUCUGGAUUUGGUGAGGUGGGUGUGCAUGGCCGGUUCUAAGUGGUGGGGGUGACUUGUCUGGUUAAUUGCCAAUAAGAACGAGAACUUAAACUUGGCUAAAUAUCACGUAUUGCUCCUGGCAGAGGGCGCUGAGCAUUCUUAGAGGAACUUUCGGGUUCAAGGCCGGAAGGAAAGUUGUAGACGCGAUGA